This 460-nucleotide ribosomal RNA is filed under the name uncultured bacterium. RNAcentral describes it as "partial 16S ribosomal RNA". It matches the Rfam family "Bacterial small subunit ribosomal RNA", at positions 338 to 795 of the family's 1533-position model. The record is from RNAcentral.
CCUACGGGAGGCAGCAGUGAGGAAUAUUGGUCAAUGGACGAGAGUCUGCACCAGCCAAGUAGCGUGAAGGAUGACUGCCCUAUGGGUUGUAAACUUCUUUUAUAUAGGAAUAAAACGAGGCACGUGUGCCUUUUUGCUUGUACUUUAUUAAUCAGGAUCGGCUAACUCCGGGCCAGCAGCCGCGGUCAUACGGAGGAUCCGAGCGUUAUCCGGAUUUAUUGGGUUUAAAGGGAGCGUAGAUGGGUUGUUAAGUCAGUUGUGAAAGUUUGCGGCUCAACCGUAAAAUUGCAAUUGAUACUGGCAGUCGUGAGUACAGUUGAGGUAAGCGGAAUUCGUGGUGUAGCGGUGAAAUGCUUAGAUAUCACGAAGAACCCCGAUUGCGAAGGCAGCUUACUAAACUGUGACUGACAUUGAUGCUCGAAAGUGUGGGUAUCAAACAGGAUUAGAUACCCCUGUAGUC